Nannospalax galili (Upper Galilee mountains blind mole rat) is the source of this 1269-nucleotide RNA transcript. RefSeq lists it as uncharacterized. The record is from RefSeq and is a predicted model, not a curated record. Lineage: Eukaryota; Metazoa; Chordata; Mammalia; Rodentia; Spalacidae. The transcript is spliced from 3 exons.
ACCGAGCGCCUUGGGCCUUCCUCAGCAUGGUGGUUUUGUUUUAAAAGUCCAAGGACGCGCCUGCUUCUGGCUAUCUGGGGCAACGGUACGGCCGCUCCAGGCCUUGUUUUUGUUUAGGAGGCUGCCUCACCGCGUUGCUCUGGCUAGCCUGAAACCUGAAACUCGCUUCGAACUCUGAGAUCCUCCUUCUCCACAACACCUGGCCCCAGGCCCACCUUUAAAACAGUUGUUUAGCUUCGAUCCUAACCUUGUGCAAUGCCAUACACCUCUCCUUCGCGAUUUGAAAAAUAGCAUGAGUGUAAAAGUUUUUGCACACACGGUUAGAUUCUAAGAAGCAGUGGCCAUUUGAUCUUACAAGCCCUGGGUUAUAGGUUUUCUUUGCCUAUGUAUAGUUUGGGUUUGGCUUGGGAAGGUGCCGGUAUUCCUCUAUGCAGCCUGUAGUGCUGUUAGAUGCCUCCUGAUCACUGUAUUCUGUAGACAGCAUUUCUGUACCAUUUGGUUAUUUCCCCUGCACCUCUCUUAUUGGAAAUACUUCAAGAUGAAUAGAUUAAAUGUUUGCAGUAGGUUUGUUGGCUUUUAGAAGGAUGACUCCAGCUUUGAGAAUUCUGCCCAGAAUCUUCUAUCUGGUGGGACGUGUUUUAAACACAUUUCCCUGCCCUCCUCACCUUGCAAUGUAGGAAAAGCACUCCACUUGGAAUGUUAUGGUGCCUUUGCACACCCUGGAGCUGAGAGGGGCCUCUGGUGAAAUCCUCUUAACUCCAUGAUGGUUUCCUUAUUUUAUAGGACAGGCACAGAAUCCUUUCUGCUUCAGACCAACUGAGCCUGGAGAAAACUGCAGCAUGUGAGCCUGGGAAGCCACUCUCCCCCAAAGCAAGACUGCCUCUGCCAAGAUUCUCUGAUGCGCUGAAGAAGAUGGAGGGAGAAGGAUCCAAUGGACAAGUAUGCCAGCCUCAUUUCCACCCACUCUCCUUGUGACUGGAGAAAGGAAGUUCUCGCUGCGACUCUACUCACUGUGGGGCCUGUGAGUGGGCUUGCAUGAAUGCUCGAUGUGCACCUGUCUUCCCCCAACCUGUGAGAAGCUGCAGUGAUCUUCCUGUGGCAGAAGAGGAUGCCCGAGUGCCCAGCUACUCAAUUGCAGUGAGCAUCAGGAGGAAUCCAGCCCCUCCCGGCUUUGUGUAAAAACCAUCUAGCAUAAAGAGCCACAUCCAGCAGGAAUUGGCUUUGCCCAGGUGUACAAAGCAUCUCUCAGACCACCUUCUAAUGACUCGC